This 353-nucleotide ribosomal RNA is filed under the name uncultured bacterium. Its description in RNAcentral is "bacterial SSU rRNA". It matches the Rfam family "Bacterial small subunit ribosomal RNA", at positions 29 to 409 of the family's 1533-position model. The record is from RNAcentral.
AACGAACGCUGGCGGCAUGCCUAACACAUGCAAGUCGAACGAGACCUUCGGGUCUAGUGGCGCACGGGUGCGUAACGCGUGGGAAUCUGCCCUUGGGUCCGGAAUAACUCAGAGAAAUUUGAGCUAAUACCGGAUGAUGACGUAAGUCCAAAGAUUUAUCGCCCAGGGAUGAGCCCGCGUAGGAUUAGCUAGUUGGUGAGGUAAAGGCUCACCAAGGCGACGAUCCUUAGCGGUCUGAGAGGAUGAUCAGCCACACUGGGACUGAGACACGGCCCAGACUCCUACGGGAGGCAGCAGUGGGGAAUAUUGGACAAUGGGCGAAAACCUAGAUCCAGCAAUGCCGCGUGAGUGAU